Long non-coding RNA from Nyctereutes procyonoides (raccoon dog), 2033 nucleotides. RefSeq lists it as uncharacterized. The record is from RefSeq and is a predicted model, not a curated record. NCBI's taxonomy places the organism in Eukaryota, Metazoa, Chordata, Mammalia, Carnivora, Canidae. The transcript has 4 exons.
CAAGUUUUCAUUUUUCUAAGAUAAAUACCCAGGAGUGCAAUCACUGGGUAGUGCAAUAGUUGCAUGUUUAGUUUUUAAAGAAACUGUCAAACUGUUUCCCAGAGUAGCUAUACCAUUUUACAUUCCAAUCAGAAAUGUGUGAAAGAUUUAGUUUCUUCAGAUUUUCACCAGAAUUUGAUGUUGUCACUUUUUUUUUUCCUUCCCGGUAAAGAAUCCAACGUGCACUUCCCGAGUCCAGAGGAUGGAGGUGGUAGCCACAGAGGAGUUGCUGCAGUGGACGCAAAGGUGGCAGGUUAACGACAGCUGGAAUCUCUGGAAUUUACCGUAUGCCAAGGACAAAUCUAAUUUUAUGCAUGCUAACAUAUUAUGUUUUCUCAGGAUCAAGGGCGACAAAGUGGCCUUGGAAGAUAGAGAAUUGGAAUCCUAAUAAGAAUGCCAGCUGCUGUAUCAUGAGGACAUUCAAGUAGCACCAUGGAGUACAUGGACAGGAACCAAACUGUUGGCACCAACAUGUUAGCCAAAUGACCAAGCCAUUUUAAAAGGGGAUCUUCCAACUCCUAGCCUUUGAGUCUUUAAGCUAAAGCCUCAAAUAUCAUGUAGCAGAGACAAGCCUUUCCCACUGAGUCCUGUCUGCAUUCCUGACCCACAGAAACCAUGAGAGAUACUAUUAUUAGUGCUUUACGGCAAUACAUUUUGGGGUUAUUUGUUAUGUAGCAAGAGAUAGCUAAAAAGUGUCUGGCCCACAAUAAGUUCCCAAUAAAUCCUCAUUGAAUUAAAGGAUAAACGUAAGCAGAUUGUUUUCCCAGGGUACUCAGUGAUCAUAAUAUCAUGUCUGUUAUUAACCUAAAUGAAACUGUUGAAAAAGCCUUAGCUCUAUAUCCUCUUUGGUUUUGGAGUCUCAGGAUGGGGGCUCGAGUCUUGGAUCUGUGACUUAUUUGCCAUUUGACCUUGAAUAAUUCACUUCCAGUCUUUGGUUCUUGGUUUUCCUAAUCUGUAACCUAGAUAUAACAAUAACAGUUAUAAUUAUGCUCUAACAUAAACCACCAACUUGGAAGAGUCUUGUCGACCAUGCAGACCCCUGGAUCAGGGCUCUCCUAAAACCCAUGCCACAGCUAGAAUUGCCCAUUAUGUGAACAAAUAAACCUUCUUUAUUACCAUUUAAGUCAGUUCCAUUUGUUGGUGUCUCCUACACCCCAAAAAAAGCUCUUUAUAUAAAGCAUUCACACUAACAGAAGUGAAACAAUAGCCAACAAAACAAGAUAACAUGUAAUGAGUAAGAUGAUGCAUGGUAGUCUCAAGGAUAACAAUUAAGAAUAAAGUGAUAUCACAUCACCCUAUCAACCAUUUCUGUGAGUUGAUGGCAAGGACAUCCUAAUUCACUUGCCUGGGAAAGUCAGGGAUGCCCAAUGGGGAUCUGUUUUCAUAUAAAUUUCAGUUUCUGUAAGUAUAUUUUAGAAUUCCUGUCCUCAAAUUUCUUCUCUGUGACUGCAUUUGACAGGUAAUGCUCAGUAGCAUCAAAUUCAUGUUUAAAUGCCAUAAAGGAACAAGAAACCAUUCGUGUUUCAGAAAGGAUCUCCAAGUGGCCAUAUUGUGUUGUACACAGGCAUCAAGAAAACAAGUAGCCAGGCUUCUGUGAUCACUGCCUCCCCUGUAGGUCCCCAAAGAGUAUGAGAGGGUCUUAUGGGCCACUUGCCACAAUAUCAUUGCCUUGUCACAGAGUUCUUCAUUUUGUUCCAAGGGCAGAGGACACUGUCCUGGGCAUGUCAUGAAAUACUAAUAAAAAACUCAUCUUCCAGGUUGAAGAGUGUUCAUUUUUAAGAGCAGAGGAGACAGGGAUUUCUGACAGGCCUGGAUGGACAGCAUGAAACAUGACCACUGUGCAAUUUGGCCUCCUGAGAUUUAGAGAGAUGGUGGCUUGAAGUGGUGCUGUGGAUAAUAUAGGCAGGUCUCAAAUCUGUUUUAUUAGCACUGGUCUCCUUCUUCAUAUAUGUUAGAAUGACUUUGAUGGGCAAUUUAAUUAAACUGCUAUUUGU